RNAcentral lists this ribosomal RNA (253 nucleotides) under uncultured prokaryote. Its description in RNAcentral is "partial 16S ribosomal RNA". It matches the Rfam family "Bacterial small subunit ribosomal RNA", at positions 525 to 777 of the family's 1533-position model. The record is from RNAcentral.
ACAGAGGUUGCAAACGUUGUUCGGAAUUACUGGGCAUAGAGCGCACGUAGGUGGUUCGCUAAGUCGGAUGUGAAAUUCCCCGGCUCAACCGGGGAACGGCAAUCGAUACUGGCGGACUUGAGGUCCGGAGGGGUGAGUGGAACUCCUGGUGGAGCGGUGAAAUGCGUAGAUAUCAGGAGGAACACCGGUGGCGAAAGCGGCUCACUGGCCGGAAUCUGACACUGAGGUGCGAAAGCUAGGGUAGCAAACGGGA